RNAcentral lists this unclassified non-coding RNA (291 nucleotides) under Glomus sp. RNAcentral's name for it is "partial contains 5.8S ribosomal RNA and internal transcribed spacer 2". The stretch from base 1 to 65 matches the Rfam family "5.8S ribosomal RNA", at positions 84 to 154 of the family's 154-position model. The record is from RNAcentral. Lineage: Eukaryota; Fungi; Glomeromycota; Glomeromycetes; Glomerales; Glomeraceae.
GUGAAUCAUCGAAUCUUUGAACGCAAAUUGCACUCUCUUCUGAGAGUAUGCCUGUUUGAGGGUCAGCCUAAAAAAUAAUCGACAUAUUUGCUUUUACGCGGUAACAUUCGUCGGAAAUUGGGUCAUCUUAAACCUUUGUGUUUAAGCGGCUUAUAAUUUUCUUUACGAUUCCACGAACGUUUCUAAUAUUUUACUUCUUACACGUUUAAGGUAUCGAUCUUUAUUAUACGUGCCCGUUGCAUCGGAUUACGUCCAUAAAUAUUUCGUUAAAUGAACCCAUACACGUACGCA